AAUGCACACAUCCCCACGUAAGCAAACGAGUCCACCAACAUUCUUCUAUGGCCCAUAAAUUAAUUGUAUUACCAUUAAAAGUUUAAGCCCCAAAAAACUUAGUUAAUUAAUUGUUAACCCAUGUAUCGGAGAGAACGUCACGGCUUUGAUCUCGGCUCAUACACAGUGGAGCCAACUCAACGAUAUAUAGACUAAAGUUUGAUCUGUUUUUACUAGUUGAAUCCCUAGAAAUUCAUUACAUUCAAUGGUUACUAUGGUGACACACGGACACGGAGAGGGUUCUCAUGAAUUUUGUUAAUUACAUAUAUAAUAUGAACUUGUUGGGACUAGUAUUCACAUUCCUUUUUUCGUUUGCUCUUCUCUUUCUUUUUUUCACU
This is a long non-coding RNA of Arabidopsis thaliana (thale cress), 377 nucleotides long. RefSeq annotates it as other RNA. The transcript has a single exon. NCBI's taxonomy places the organism in Eukaryota, Viridiplantae, Streptophyta, Magnoliopsida, Brassicales, Brassicaceae. The record is from RefSeq.